GGAAUAUUUAAAACAACAUAUUUUACAAUCGAUCAACAACAUGUAACAGGAAAAUCGAGGUUGUAAAAAAAGAUAUUAAGACGUGGUUAUUGUGUAAGGUUUGUUUUCAUCGUCUGCAUUCUGGUCGCUUACAACAGCAAACUUCCACGAACGAGGCUCUCCUGACCCUACGAGGCUGUCGGGGCCGCCAGGGGCGUUGACGACGCCAGCGUCUCCUCGUCUUCAACAACGUCCCGGAAGAACAAGAGGGCGCGCAGGACGAACUGAAGAGCAUAACAGUGCGUUGCGUAGUGCCUAUGUCCGACGUGACAGUGAUGUAUCCCCGUGUUACUAAUGGCAGGAUGGGGAAGACGUGCGGCAUCCUCAUCGUCGGCGACGAGAUCCUGAAGGGGCAGACGGCAGACACCAACUCGUUCUUUCUGUGCCGCCGCCUCUUUGCCUUGGGCGUCAAGGUGUCUCGAAUAACCGUGAUUCCCGAUUUGAUGGGGGAUAUUGCGGAGGAGGUGUCGAGAUUCUCCAAGAAAUUCGACAUCGUCAUCACCUCCGGCGGCGUCGGCCCGACUCACGACGACGUCACCUACGACGGCGUCGCUCAGGCCUUCGGGCAAGGGUUGACGUACAACGAGGAGAUCGCAGACGUCAUACGCCAGUACCUGCCUGAAGGAGAGGCUGCGAAGCCGUCCCAUCCGGCCUACAAGAUGGCGAGCAUUCCUGACGGCGCGGUGCUACACUACCUCCGCGACGAGAGCGACGUCCUCGUGUGCAAAUUCCCACUGGUGUCGCUGAAGAACGUGUACAUGUUCCCCGGCAUCCCGGCCUACCUGGAGCGCGACUUCCACUACCUGGAGAAGCUCUUCUACAGCCCCGAUACCAAGUUCCACGUCAGGGACAUCUUCCUGUCGGAGGACGAAAAUAAUCUGACGGGGAAGCUGAACGAUCUGGUGAGCCACAGCCCGGCGGUGACGGUUGGGUCUUACCCCGAAGUGAACAACAGGUACUACCGCACUCGAGUCUCCCUGCAGAGCGAGUCCGAGUCCGAGCUGCUGGAGGCCGAGGAGUACCUGAGGUCUUCCUUUAGCGACGAGGUCAUCGUUGACUUCGAUAUCAACAGCAUUAGCCAUGCAGGGAGAAGGAUUUAUGACAUCAUCGCCCUACGAGGGGAACCCCACCUCUCUGGACCCAUCGCUAGUGCUGUGAAGAUUCUAGAAGAAUGUCUGGAUCGGUAUUCCACUGACGAGAUCUGCAUAAGCUUCAAUGGAGGCAAGGACUGCACAGUCAUCUUGCAUCUAUUGCAUGGAGUACUGCUUCACAGAUACCCAGAAAACACCCCAUCUAUCCAGGCAGUCUAUAUCACCUGCAGCACGCCUUUUGAUGAAGUGGAAGUCUUUAUUGAUCAGAUGGUCAAAAGGUAUAAUGUAACACUAUGGAGGAUAGAAGGACCUAUCAAGAAAGGCCUUGAGGAACUGACAAAGAAAGAACCAAAAGUGAAAGCAAUUUUGAUGGGUACCCGAUGGACAGAUCCCUACUCCAAAACACUCCAGCCAUUCCAGAUGACUGAUGAAGGCUGGCCUCAGUUCAUGCGUGUUUCUCCUAUUCUGGAUUGGAAUUACCAGACAGUGUGGACUUUCCUGAGAACACUGUCUGUCCAGUACUGCACCCUUUAUGAUCAUGGGUACACUUCACUUGGAGGGAUACACAACACGAUCAAGAACCCACACCUGAAGUACAGUGGAGAAGAUAAGAAGGAACACCAUUAUCCUGCUUACUUCCUGAAAGACAUGGCUUUAGAACGUGCUGGCAGGACAUAGUAUAAAGUGCGCUGUUUAAGCAUCUAUAUAAAUAAAUAGCCACAACCAGAGCCAUGGAUGAAGAUUAUUGUUUUAAAAAUUUGUGAAGUUGAGUGAUGUAGAAAUGUUAGUAAGCAUUGACUGACGGGAAAGAGUCAGGCAAAAAAAGAGAAAAGAAAAAAAUGAAAAAGAAAGGUAGCAAAAGAGAGAGGGAAAAAAUAUUUAAAGAUAAAUAGAUAGAAUGAAAGUAGUAAGAUAUUAAGAUAAAAGGAGUAUGCUUGUUUGCAUAUUGGUGUAGGUUGGGUUUAUUUAUACUGUAAAUAUCGUAAGUCCUUCAAAUUUGGUCAGUUAUAUGAUAAAUAAAUAAAGGAAAUUGAUCAAUA
This 2170-nucleotide unclassified non-coding RNA is filed under the name Penaeus monodon (black tiger shrimp). RNAcentral describes it as "fAD synthase-like, transcript variant X11". The record is from RNAcentral. Lineage: Eukaryota; Metazoa; Arthropoda; Malacostraca; Decapoda; Penaeidae.